UCCUGAAGAAUCCUGAUCAAAUCAGAGAUGUUUUUCAGCAGUGCCUCACAGAGGAGAAGAAACAUAUGAAACAUCUGAUCCCCUUCAUGUGUCGACUGUUGAAUGAGAAGAGCCCAAGUUUGAUGAAGCAUCUGAUUCCAGAUCAGGACCUGAAGAAUACAUCUAACUGGUUCUUCAAGGAGCUGAUAAACACAUUUUUUCCUCAUCUGUGUGAGCAAGAAGAGGCUGAUACUGAGGACAGUGGGCUCCAUGUUGACAUACUGUUCUUAUGCCAGUGCUUGUAUGAGUCCCAGAGUCCUGAAGCAUGCAUCUACCUUCUAGACAAACUGGACUACCAUCUUGAUCUCAGUGCAGAGACUCUGGAUCCUUACCCUUGCUGUGCUGUGGCCUUUGUGGUCACUCAGUCAAAGGAAAGGAAAAUAAGGCUGAACGUCGAGGACGUGAUCAUAUCCGAACAAGGAAUGAGACAGCUGUUCGGAUGCCUUGAAAAUGUCCAAUGGUGUGAUCCUCUGCCUCGACAGCUGUGGGUGAGUUUUCUUCUCAGUGAAGAGCAGAUGGACUUUGUAAAAUUACUCAGCCUUGAUGGAAAUCAGCUGCAUCUUCCAGUUGAAGGUGAAAGACAGCUGUUUGAAAGAGCUGUGGAAGUCCUCCAGAUGGUUAACCAGAUGGUUAAUGUCUGCCUGUACUGGUACAGAGAAACUCCUGACUGCCAGAGUCUGUGUGAGUCUCUGCUAAAGGCUUUGCCAUUCAUCAACUCACUCAGCUUCAGAGGUCCAGUUUCAUGGAGCCAGGAAAAAUACCAUGGGACACUGGAGAAGGAACAAAAGAGGCUGUUCAUGGAUUUAUGCUUGAAAGCAGCACUUCAUGAUGGAC
Long non-coding RNA from Pelmatolapia mariae (spotted tilapia), 873 nucleotides. RefSeq lists it as uncharacterized. NCBI's taxonomy places the organism in Eukaryota, Metazoa, Chordata, Actinopteri, Cichliformes, Cichlidae. The record is from RefSeq and is a predicted model, not a curated record. The transcript is spliced from 3 exons.